GUUAUACCCCUCCUAUCUGAGAACCUCUCCAUACCUAACCUGUGAGGAGGUACACGGUUAUACCCCUCCUACCUGAGAACCUCUCCAUACCUAACCUGAGGGGUACACUGUUAUACCCCUCCUAUCUGAGAACCUCUCUAUACCUAACCUGUGAGGGGGUACACGGUUAUACCCCUCCUACCUGAGAACCUCUCUAUACCCAACCUGUGAGAGGAACACGGUUAUAC
Molecule: long non-coding RNA, 227 nt
Filed under: Pelobates cultripes (western spadefoot toad)
Lineage: Eukaryota; Metazoa; Chordata; Amphibia; Anura; Pelobatidae
Source: RNAcentral